UUUUUUUGGUUUUUGAGAAUGCGAAUGAUGAUGAAUGUUGGGUUUUUUUAUUAAUGCAAAGCUCUUAGUUAUUUAUGUUGUUUAUUGCAAGAAAUACUUAACAAUUUACUAUUGUAAUCAAGGAUAAAGAAGUGCACACAAAGUGAAUUAUAAUGAAGCUUCAUUCAUCCUUUGAAGGGAAUAAGACAAGUUCAAGUACAUUGGAAAUUUCAAAAUACAAGUUGUUGAAAUGAAACAACAUGCAAACUAGAUGUCAACCC
This 260-nucleotide long non-coding RNA is filed under the name Lathyrus oleraceus (garden pea). RNAcentral's name for it is "Pisum sativum (pea) long non-coding RNA (PSAT_LNC006112)". Lineage: Eukaryota; Viridiplantae; Streptophyta; Magnoliopsida; Fabales; Fabaceae. The record is from RNAcentral.